GUGAAAUUGUUGAAAGGGAAGCGCUUGCAACCAGACUUGCACGCAGUUGAUCAUCCGGUGUUCUCACCGGGGCACUCUGCUGCGUUCAGGCCAGCAUCGGUUUUGGUGGUUGGAUAAAGGCCUUGGGAAUGUGGCUUCCUUCGGGGAGUGUUAUAGCCCUCGGUGCAAUGCAGCCUACCGGGACCGAGGACCGCGCUUCGGCUAGGAUGCUGGCGUAAUGGUUGUAAGCGACCCGUCUUGAAACACGGACCAAGGAGUCUAACAUCUAUGCGAGUGUUUGGGUGUUAAACCCAUACGCGUAAUGAAAGUGAACGGAGGUGAGAACCCUUAAGGGUGCAUCAUCGACCGGUCCUGAUGUCUUCGGAUGGAUCUGAGUAAGAGCAUAGCUGUUGGGACCCGAAAGAUGGUGAACUAUGCGUGAAUAGGGUGAAGCCAGAGGAAACUCUGGUGGAGGCUCGCAGCGGUUCUGACGUGCAAAUCGAUCGUCAAAUUUGCGCAUAGGGGCGAAAGACUUAUCGAACCAUUGGAAUAACUACUAGGUGGUUAAGAGGCCAUAGUACGGCCUAGUCCUCACCGAGGGCGACAUUGUCAAAUUGUUCGGGGACCUCCUGAUAACUCUCAGACUACCGCAGCCUGCCCGAAAGGGGGGUGCGCACCGGGCUAACGACCCUGGGGAUGGUAAUAACGUCUGGAUAGGGAUGAUCCGCAGCC
Molecule: ribosomal RNA, 711 nt
Filed under: uncultured Ascomycota
Lineage: Eukaryota; Fungi; Ascomycota
Description: LSU rRNA
Rfam family: Eukaryotic large subunit ribosomal RNA
Source: RNAcentral